UUUAUGGUGGCCAAGUGGUAAGGCGUUGGUCUUGUAAACCAAAGAUCAUACGUUCCAAUCUUGUCUGUGCCU
Non-coding RNA from Megalops atlanticus (tarpon), 72 nucleotides. NCBI's taxonomy places the organism in Eukaryota, Metazoa, Chordata, Actinopteri, Elopiformes, Megalopidae. The record is from the annotation of a GenBank genome assembly.